RNAcentral lists this ribosomal RNA (241 nucleotides) under Oxyrrhis marina. Its description in RNAcentral is "partial Eukaryotic large subunit ribosomal RNA". It matches the Rfam family "Eukaryotic large subunit ribosomal RNA", at positions 2696 to 2936 of the family's 3401-position model. The record is from RNAcentral. Lineage: Eukaryota; Dinophyceae; Oxyrrhinales; Oxyrrhinaceae.
GUAGAACAAAAGGGUAAAAGCCAACUUGAUUUUGAUUUUCAGUAUGAAUACAAACCGUGAAAGCGUGGCCUAUCGAUCCUUUAGUACUCUAGAAUUUUGAGCUAGAGGUGUCAGAAAAGUUACCACAGGGAUAACUGGCUUGUGGCAGCCAAGCGAUCAUAGCGACGUUGCUUUUUGAUUCUUCGAUGUCGGCUCUUCCUAUCAUUGUGUCGCAGAAGUCACCAAGUGUAGGAUUGUUCAC